GUAGGUGGCAAGCGUUGUCCGGGAAUUAUUGGGGGCGUAAAAGCGCGCGCAGGCGGUUCUUUAAGUCUGAUGUGAAAGCCCACGGGCUCAACCGUGGAGGGUCAUUGGAAACUGGAGAACUUGAGUACAGAAGAGGAAAGCGGAAUUCCACGUGUAGCGGUGAAAUGCGUAGAGAUGUGGAGGAACACCAGUGGCGAAGGCGGCUUUCUGGUCUGUAACUGACGCUGAGGCGCGAAAGCGUGGGGAGCAAACAGGAUUAGAUACCCUGGUAGUCCACGCCGUAAACGAUGAGUGCUAAGUGUUAGGGGGUUUCCGCCCCUUAGUGCUGCAGCUAACGCAUUAAGCACUCCGCCUGGGGAGUACGGCCGCAAAGGCUGA
RNAcentral lists this ribosomal RNA (378 nucleotides) under uncultured organism. RNAcentral describes it as "partial 16S ribosomal RNA". It matches the Rfam family "Bacterial small subunit ribosomal RNA", at positions 527 to 897 of the family's 1533-position model. The record is from RNAcentral.